CGCUCGGUCUCGAACCCCUCAAGGUCUGAUUGGGAGGACUCUACGUGGGUUAGCCUUCAACGUUACAGUGGAAAGACAUGAUCAAACUCAGAUGCGGAUUGAUUGGUUUGACAAUGUGAGGAUAUGAUUAUAGAGUGCAGAGGAGGGAUUAUAAUGGCAUUAGCACCUGGCAGAGUUGCAUAGAGGCUGUUGCACUUGAAUCCAGCAACGAGCAGCUCGUCAUUGUGCACGUCUUCAUUUCUGCCUGCUGUGUUGUGCACUUUCUGAGCCCUUCACUAAGACCCACUUGCUCAAUUUAUGUCGGGUGGUUCGGUUCCUUCCUCAUCAGGCAAGCUUUGCAAUGCAGUAUCGGCAGUUCAGAUUCUUGCUACAGUUAUUGAAGACGAAGAGGGAUGAGAGGAGCAUGUAGCCGAGGUACACGGCAGUGACAAGAGUACACCCGCGGUUGUUACGAGGAGAUGUGGAGAGAGGACACGAUGGCACGACUAAAAACUUUAAGAAGCGAGCAGAUUGCAACGACUGACUAGGGGUUAUUAAGGCGGAUUAGAAAUAAUGGAUUCACUAAACCCUAAUUAGUCAUUGUGUAUAUGUGUACACACACACAUCUGCACUUGUUUGUGGAAACUUGUGUUGAUAAGCGUUAAAUUCUUGUAAAUCUGGAUACUGGAAAUUAUUUCAGAAUUCAUUCUCGCCUCAAUAACCACCUCCACCAAUCCACUCAAAACCACGAACAAUGUUUCGAGUUUCUUAUAUGCACCAGAUUGACACC
Molecule: long non-coding RNA, 769 nt
Filed under: Physcomitrium patens
Lineage: Eukaryota; Viridiplantae; Streptophyta; Bryopsida; Funariales; Funariaceae
Description: long non-coding RNA (PPAT_LNC004592)
Source: RNAcentral